AACGAACGCUGGCGGCAUGCCUAACACAUGCAAGUCGAACGAGACCUUCGGGUCUAGUGGCGCACGGGUGCGUAACGCGUGGGAACCUGCCCUUAGGUUCGGAAUAACUCCCCGAAAGGGGUGCUAAUACCGGAUAAUGUCUUCGGACCAAAGAUUUAUCGCCUUUGGAUGGGCCCGCGUUGGAUUAGCUAGUUGGUAGGGUAAAAGCCUACCAAGGCGACGAUCCAUAGCUGGUCUGAGAGGAUGAUCAGCCACACUGGGACUGAGACACGGCCCAGACCCCUCGGGGAGGCAGAAGGGGGGAAGAUGGAACAAGGGGCGAAAGCUGAACCCAGCAAGGCCGGGGGAGUGAUGAAGGCCUUAGGGUUGAAAAGCUCUUUACCCCGGGAUGAUAAGAAAGGUCCCGGGAAAAAAAGCUCCGGCAAACUCCGU
Molecule: ribosomal RNA, 432 nt
Filed under: uncultured bacterium
Lineage: Bacteria
Description: partial 16S ribosomal RNA
Rfam family: Bacterial small subunit ribosomal RNA
Source: RNAcentral